CCAAGGAAACGGCAAAGGCAACUAUAACGAUCGUAAGUUGGAGAAAUACCUUUUGGGGAAAGUCGGGAAGCGGACAAAAGGCGUAACGAAGUGGGCAAUGUGUCAACAGCGGACUCGGUGGAAUUGGAAGUCCGAGGAAGAUGCCGGAUACCUGCGCCAGGAGGGAAAGAGCACAUGGUGCUUUACUGUAGCUUGACAUUGGGUCUUGGUACUACAUGUAAAGGAUAGGUGGGAGGCUUUGAAACCAGGACGACAGUUUUGGCGGAGCCAUCCUUGGGAUACCAACCUGUGAGUACUGUGACUCUAACCAUAGGCAAUGAAUGUGGUCUACGGAGACAGUCAGGUGGGCAGGUUGCGUGGGGCGGUGGACGCCCGAAGAGGAACAGGAGCGCCAAAGGGUUCUCUCAGCACGCAAGGACACCGUCCAUGUGACGUAAAGGAGAAGG
This 446-nucleotide ribosomal RNA is filed under the name Clostridioides difficile. RNAcentral describes it as "bacterial LSU rRNA". It matches the Rfam family "Bacterial large subunit ribosomal RNA", at positions 1919 to 2364 of the family's 2925-position model. Lineage: Bacteria; Bacillati; Bacillota; Clostridia; Peptostreptococcales; Peptostreptococcaceae. The record is from RNAcentral.